This is a long non-coding RNA of Bombina bombina (fire-bellied toad), 1933 nucleotides long. RefSeq lists it as uncharacterized. NCBI's taxonomy places the organism in Eukaryota, Metazoa, Chordata, Amphibia, Anura, Bombinatoridae. The record is from RefSeq and is a predicted model, not a curated record. The transcript has 2 exons.
GACUCUUGCUAAUAUGAAAGAAAUGAAUUUAUCAGGUAAGUUCUUACAUAAAUUAUGUUUUUUUACCUUUUACUGUUUUUAGUAGUAAAUUUUAUUGCUUCUUAGUAGUAAAUUUUAUUUCUUUUUUAUGCAGAAUAGUGUCAAGGGGAAUGUCACUCUCCCGUCCUAAUGCUAUCAUUGGAAAAUGCCGUAUGAUUCGACAUGACCGAGACCCUAAAAAUGAUCCCAAUCCCAAAAGAUUUGACUUAAUUUCGCACACAAGGCAAACCAUGAACUCAGAUGGAUUAAACUCACUCAUAUACAACGUGAUAAAGAAUGAGAAAUUUCCUCUCUACACAAAAAUAACUGUGGAUGUUGGACCAUCACAAAGAUAACUUUUACUAAAUCAACUAUAUUCUGCACAUGAAGCCAUAUUCAUCAUUGCGAGCAAUGAAAUCUUUGAGAGUGUGUUAAAGGACACUAAAGUAAAAAAUUAAAUUAGAAAUCUUUAAAACAUUGCACUGUCAAUCCUAUUGUUCUUACACCCAAGGUGCUCCUUAGUCUAAUGCUAAAGCAGGUUAACUGGGAGUGUAUGGUUUUGUGAUCUUACCCUCCUUGUAAAUUACUUUUUAAAAAUAAAUGGUCUAUUCUUUUAUUCAUUACUUAAAAGGACAGUCUGCUCCAGAAUUUUUUGUUUUCUUAUAAAGAUAGAUACGGUAAUCCCUUUAUUAUCUAUUCCCUUCCCCAGUUUUUGACUUGCCAAUACAUUGUAUCUAAGCCUCUGUAGACUGCCCCCUUAUUGCGGUUAUUUUGACAUACUUGAAUUUUAGCAAAUCAGUGGAGUAAAUAACUCCACUAGAGUGAGCACAAUGUUAUCUAUAUGGCAGACAUGAACUAGCGUUGUCUAGCUGUGAAAAACUGUCAAAAUGCACUGAGAUAAGAGGCAGCCUUCAAGGGCUUAGAAAUUAGCAUGUGAGCCUACCUAGGUUUAGCGUUCAAUAAAGAAUAGCAAGAGAACAAAGCAAAUUUGAUGAUAUAAGUUAAUUGGAAAGUUGUUUAAAUUGCAUGCCCUAUCUGAAUCAUGAAAGUUUAAUUUUGACUAGACUGUCACUUUAAGUUUCUCUAAAUAUAUGCUAUUUGGACUGUUUUUCUCAGGUUAUACAUAAGGACCUUUGUAUAAAAAAAAUGUAUGCAAUAACAAGAUGCUUUUCUAUAAUUUUUGUAAUCAAAUAUCUACAUGGAAGUCCCUUGUUUAUUUUACAUUUAUAUUGAAUAUUGAUUUUUUUAUUCAAUGCUGCUAUAUAUUUAUAUAUAUAUAUAUAUAUAUAUAUAUAUAUAUAUAUAUAUAUGUAUGUGUGUGUGUGUAUGUAUAUAUAUAUAUUUUAUAUAAUUUGGAUGUUUACAAACUGUAGUUUUUAAAUUGCAAGUAACCAAAAAUAUGUCUGUGUUAAUGCAAUUUCUCUCUGAGCAUAGAACAUGUUUGAAUUUCAAUAGUACCAUCCCCAUUUCUGUCAUAAACAUACUGUGUUUUAAAAAAUAAAGCAAAAGGCAAAUUUGCUUUUAUUUCCAGUGAAAUUUAAUAGAAAUAUCAGUAUGCUAACAUACUAUUUUGCAGUUUAUUAAUCAAAGGACUAGAUUUUUGAAUGGAGAGCUUUAUCCUAUAAGAGGUAGGUGGUGGAAUUUCCAGUUCCUCUGGUACCCUCCUUUUCAGCAUGUGUAUAAAUUUGAGUAAAUCGAAUCUGAAGUGUUACCUUGAACACAUUUAGAAAUACCGUAAUCCAUGGCUUGUUACUGAGUUUGUCAGUGUGUCUGUUUAGUGCGAGUAUAAUUGUCUUAUAGGCAUCUGCUUAUUGAGACAAUGCAUAUCUCUUUGAAGCCAACAUUGAGUGGCCUGGUGUCCAUCCCAUUUAUGUACUUAAUUUAUGUCAAUAAAAGAUUUAAUUGUUAUGGUAAA